This is a long non-coding RNA of Heterocephalus glaber (naked mole-rat), 754 nucleotides long. The record is from Ensembl. NCBI's taxonomy places the organism in Eukaryota, Metazoa, Chordata, Mammalia, Rodentia, Bathyergidae.
UAUUUUCUUUGCACUGACUUUAGGGAGCCAGCCGCUUCCCGUGUUAGCACUCGGGUGCCAGGUGGCCAAAAACACGGGGCAAAGGUUUUCCUAGUUAAGUCGUGGUAUCCACAGCUGUAGCUCUGAGGAAGGAACAGGGCCAUUUGCGGCACUUCGUGCUGUGUGAAGGGUAAUUCGCAGCCUGUACUACAAGGACCCUGAGCAUUCCCCGGGCGGUACCUGAGCAGAUUAGGCCGAACAAACAACUUGUCAUCUCAGCUAUGAGCAAAGGGAGAAGUGUGGGCAUGGAGCUAGGAAGAUGGAGCAGACCCAUCAAGGUGAAAUGAGCAAGUCUGUGUUGUUGGAGAGUGAAAAAGCUGGCCAAAUCAUCUGCACAAUGUCCCUUGCCCAGCAGUUCUGUGUGAAAACCAAAAUCAUGCUUGGAAUUUCCAGAUUUCUCCAGUGCUUGCGGUUCCAACAUUUCCUCGUGGUGGCACAGACCGGCAACCUAGCCAGUCUUGGUGAACUGUCAAGAUCCAAAGUACAGCAGGAGACCUUCCUCGAGGAAAGAGUCUAUUUGUGAUGCUGGGAACACAUGUGGAAGUGACCUGUGCAGUCUCCCGAAUGACAAGCAGAGCUCUACUCUUAGUCUUCGGACUGUGAAAUCACCACAAAGAUGCCCAUGGAGGUGGAGAUGUACUCAGUGUCCAGGUGUAACUCAUUCGGGCUCUGUGAGGGCUGCCACAUGAGGAAGAAAACUCCUCUUUGGCAUCUG